Ipomoea nil (Japanese morning glory) is the source of this 228-nucleotide long non-coding RNA. RefSeq lists it as uncharacterized. The record is from RefSeq and is a predicted model, not a curated record. The transcript has 4 exons. NCBI's taxonomy places the organism in Eukaryota, Viridiplantae, Streptophyta, Magnoliopsida, Solanales, Convolvulaceae.
UGAAAAUAAUGCCUAAAACUACUUAGACUGCUUGAACUUGUACUUGUAAUUUGUUCCUAUUUUAGGAUUUGUUUAAUAAUAUGUGCAUGUGUUAUAUAUAUGUAAGUGAUACUUGUUUGUGUAUUUGCAUAGGAAAACCAGCAUAAAACCAUAAAUACUUUACUUGAAAUUAAAACAACCAUUACAUACUACUUUGAAAUGGUUAGCCACUGCAUACCCAUGCAGUGU